CAGCCGCCGCGGUAAUACGAAGGGGGCUAGCGUUGUUCGGAAUCACUGGGCGUAAAGGGUGCGUAGGCGGAUACUUAAGUCAGGGGUGAAAUCCCGAGGCUCAACCUCGGAACUGCCUUUGAUACUGGGUGUCUUGAGUCCGGAAGAGGUGAGUGGAACUGCGAGUGUAGAGGUGAAAUUCGUAGAUAUUCGCAAGAACACCGGUGGCGAAGGCGGCUCACUGGUCCGGAACUGACGCUGAGGCACGACAGCGUGGGGAGCAAACAGGAUUAGAUACCCGUGUAGUCCCUGUCUCUUAUAC
RNAcentral lists this ribosomal RNA (301 nucleotides) under uncultured bacterium. RNAcentral's name for it is "partial 16S ribosomal RNA". It matches the Rfam family "Bacterial small subunit ribosomal RNA", at positions 509 to 807 of the family's 1533-position model. The record is from RNAcentral.